Molecule: unclassified non-coding RNA, 335 nt
Filed under: soil metagenome
Description: partial contains 5.8S ribosomal RNA, internal transcribed spacer 2, and large subunit ribosomal RNA
Rfam family: 5.8S ribosomal RNA (bases 1-120)
Source: RNAcentral
GAUGAAGAACGCAGCGAAAUGCGAUAAGUAAUGUGAAUUGCAGAAUUCAGUGAAUCAUCGAAUCUUUGAACGCGCAUUGCGCCCAUUAGUAUUCUAGUGGGCAUGCCUGUUCGAGCGUCAUUUCAACCCUUAAGCCUAGCUUAGUAUUGGGAAUCGACUUUACUGUCGUUCCUCAAAUUCAACGGCGGAUUUAUAGCAAUCUCUGAACGUAGUAAUUUUUUUCCUCGUUUUUGAAAUACUAUAAACCUCAGCCGCUAAACCCCCAAUUUUUCUAUGGUUGACCUCGGAUCAGGUAGGAAUACCCGCUGAACUUAAGCAUAUCAAUAAGCGGAGGA